This 713-nucleotide long non-coding RNA is filed under the name Numida meleagris (helmeted guineafowl). RNAcentral describes it as "lncRNA (ENSNMEG00000021406.1)". The record is from RNAcentral. Lineage: Eukaryota; Metazoa; Chordata; Aves; Galliformes; Numididae.
ACACAACUUGUCCCUCCUCUACUUCAGAAUGCAGACUUUCGUAUUAAAAAUGUACAAGGAAUAGCAGUAAGAGUGCUAUUGGCUAUUUCUUUGUUGGGAGAGUUCAAAGAACGGUGAGGAUGCAGGAGGAUGAUGGAAAUGUGGGUGAGCCGAUCUUCCAGGGAAAGCACCAGGAGUUAAAGCAUGCUUUGAGGCGGGCUGCUGCAAAGGAAAUAGGUGCCUGGUGUUUGCUAGCCCAAACGAAACCUUUCCCUUUUGCAGACUGUAGGAGUGCUCGCCUUGCCCUCUUUCAAGUGGUGCUGUUUGAAUCUGAAAUAACGCGCUUGCAAGCUGCUCCACAAAACUGCAUUGAGAGGGACCUGAUGACUCUUGGCGACGACAGAAAUUUUUCUCAAUUCUUCCUGCAUGGACUUUAUAUACAGACUUAGAGUCCUCCUUCCGCUGGAGAGAUCUGCCUCAGAAUUUGACACUUCUUUACUCUAAUUUAGCAAAGCCCCAGCUGGGUGCAGCAGAGGUUGAGCACUUUGUGCUUCUGCAAAUGUAAGAGAGAUGUUGGCCAUACUCUGGGCCACCACCAACGUGGAAAUCCACCUACCUGGCUAAAAAGGACCAAGUAAACUGUAUUAUUAUGCCUUUAACAGUAAUGGAUGUCAUAUAGGUAUGUACUUAGUAUGGUAAAUAAACAGGUCUGUCAACAGUAAAGGCCCUGGAAA